UAUGGCGAGAAGUGGCAAACUGCUCAGUAACACGUAGCUAACCUACCCUCGGGACGGAGACAACCCCGGGAAACUGGGGUUAAUCCCCGAUAGGCGUGGAUUCCUGGAAUGGUUUCACGCCGAAACGUUAACACACCAUGUUUGUGUGCACGCCCGAGGAUGGGGCUGCGGCCGAUCAGGCUGUUGGUGAGGUAACGGCUCACCAAACCUUUGACCGGUACGGGCCGUGAGAGCGGUAGCCCGGAGAUGGACACUGAGACAAGGGUCCAGGACCUACGGGUCGCAGCCGGUACGAAACCUCCACAAUGCACGAAAGUGCGAUGGGGUUACCUCGAGUGCCGCCUGAAGAAGGCGGCUUUUCCAUUGUGUAAUGAGCCGUGGGAAUAAGGGGGGGGCAAGACUGGUGUCAGCCGCCGCGGUAACACCAGCCCCCCGAGUGGUGGGGAUGUUUAUUUGGCCUAAAACGUCCGUAGCCGGCUCGGUAAAUCUCUCGUUAAAUCCAGCGUCCUAAGCGUUGGGCUGCGAGAGAGACUGCCGAACUAGAGGGUGGGAGAGGUCAGCGGUAUUUCUGGGGUAGGGGCGAAAUCCAUUGAUCCCAGGAGGACCACCAGUGGCGAAGGCUGCUGACUAGAACACGCCUGACGGUGAGGGACGAAAGCUGGGGUAGCGAAUCGGAUUAGAUACCCGAGUAGUCCCAGCCGUAAACGAUGCAGGCUAGGUGUUGGGUUGGCCACGCGCCGACUCAGUGCCACAGGGAAGCCAUUAAGCCUGCUGCCUGGGGAGUACGGUCGCAAGGCUGAAACUUAAAGGAAUUGGCGGGAGAGCACCACCAGGCGUGAAGCCUGCGGUUUAAUUGGA
This 858-nucleotide ribosomal RNA is filed under the name uncultured archaeon. RNAcentral describes it as "bacterial SSU rRNA". It matches the Rfam family "Archaeal small subunit ribosomal RNA", at positions 67 to 910 of the family's 1478-position model. The record is from RNAcentral.